AACGAACGCUGGCGGCAUGCCUAACACAUGCAAGUCGAACGAUCCCUUCGGGGAUAGUGGCGCACGGGUGCGUAACGCGUGGGAAUCUGCCCUCAGGUACGGAAUAACUCAGGGAAACUUGAGCUAAUACCGUAUAAUGACUUCGGUCCAAAGAUUUAUCGCCUGGGGAUGAGCCCGCGUCGGAUUAGCUAGUUGGUGAGGUAAAAGCUCACCAAGGCGACGAUCCGUAGCUGGUCUGAGAGGAUGAUCAGCCACACUGGGACUGAGACACGGCCCAGACUCCUACGGGAGGCAGCAGUGGGGAAUAUUGGACAAUGGGCGCAAGCCUGAUCCAGCAAUGCCGCGUGAGUGAUGAAGGCCUUAGGGUUGUAAAGCUCUUUUACCCGGGUAAGAUAAUGACUGUACCGGGAGAAUAAGCCCCGGCUAACUCCGUGCCAGCAGCCGCGGUAAUACGGAGGGGGCGUAGCGUUGUUCGGAAUUACUGGGCGUAAAGCGCACGUA
RNAcentral lists this ribosomal RNA (501 nucleotides) under uncultured bacterium. Its description in RNAcentral is "bacterial SSU rRNA". It matches the Rfam family "Bacterial small subunit ribosomal RNA", at positions 28 to 573 of the family's 1533-position model. The record is from RNAcentral.